AAACUAGCAAAGACGAGGUGGU
Molecule: non-coding RNA, 22 nt
Filed under: Arabidopsis thaliana (thale cress)
Lineage: Eukaryota; Viridiplantae; Streptophyta; Magnoliopsida; Brassicales; Brassicaceae
Source: RNAcentral